ACCGCGUCGCCCCCUCCCCCUCCUUCCCAAGGGAAAGGUCGGGGCAAGGGGCGGACAGUGGCCCCCCGUGCGUCCCCGCGCGGCCGGCCUAAACGCAAACCCCGUGGCCGCGAACGGCCGCGACGAUUGGUGGAGUACUAAGACUACGCAUCGCGUCGCGUCGCCGCGAGCCCCGGGAGGAAAUGUUUCCGGAGAGCCUCGGCUCCCCGACCAACCG
Molecule: unclassified non-coding RNA, 217 nt
Filed under: Fagopyrum homotropicum
Lineage: Eukaryota; Viridiplantae; Streptophyta; Magnoliopsida; Caryophyllales; Polygonaceae
Description: partial internal transcribed spacer 2
Source: RNAcentral